CCAAGCCCCUCUGCCCCACCGGGAGAGGCGGGCGAGGGGCCCACUCCUGACCACAGGCGCAGGGGGAAGAGAGCCGGAGGAGAGCGCAGCCGGCCCCCGGGAGGCCCCGGGCUCGGAAGGAGCGCCUCCUGGGCCAGGCCCUCGGGCAGAGCAGGAAGGAGACCGACAGCGGGCUGUUCCUCGCCUCGGUACCACCAGGGAAGAGCCUUAAGGCGACACUGGAGCCUCCCGCGGAGCGAGGCCCGAAUCAGCACAAUCUGCCCCGCCCGGUCCCGGCGGGCGCCCUCUAGGGCCGGGAGAGAGACUGGCAGGCUCUUCUCGCUCGCGAGGGCCUUUGUUUGCGGACGUCCUGUCACCUUCCUCCCUGCCGCUCCUCUGAGGCGGCCUCAGACACAUCCGACCUUCCAAGUAGCACAGAGGCUCCCUCACGACCGAGCCCCCGCGGCCCUGGUGCCCGUCACCAGCGCACACGUCUCCCGGCGGAGGCCGCAGGCCCCACGAGCCCGGGGCCGGCCGAGGCGCUCCGCUCCCACCGCUCCCACCGUUCCGACCGGGCGGCGGGCGCUCGGCUCUCCGAGGGGCAGGCCCGGGCGCCGGAGGCCAAGCUGGCGCUCGGCGCUGCGUCCCGGGAGGCGCGGCCCCGGCCCCCGCGCCGGGACGCUCCUCCGCGGCGGGCCAGGCGCCGGGGCCACCGCGGGAGCCGGCGGGCUCGGCCGGGGGCGGGAGGAGCGCGGCGGGCCGCCGGGCCGGGGAAAGACAGGCGCAGGGCCCGCCUCCCCUCCUCGACCCCCGCGCCGUCCCCCGCAGGCCGCCGCCGCCGCCGCCCCCAGUAGCCCCUCGUGGAGCCCCAUGUGGAGCCCCGCGUGGGCCCCGCGGCUCCAGGCUAUGCUUUGGCACCCUCCGCUGCGUCUGGCAUGGCUGCUUGGCCCGCCGGCCCCAGGCCCUCGGCCGCAUGGCUGCGCGCUCCAGUUGCUAGUAGGAGCUGUUAGGGGAGGAGUUUGGGGUCUCCACACGAUGCCUAGAGAAUGCUGCAGUCUGCACAUUAGACGCUUUUUAGAAGUUUUGGAAUUACCCUGA
RNAcentral lists this long non-coding RNA (1077 nucleotides) under Zalophus californianus (California sea lion). RNAcentral's name for it is "lncRNA (ENSZCAG00015002808.1)". The record is from RNAcentral. Lineage: Eukaryota; Metazoa; Chordata; Mammalia; Carnivora; Otariidae.